This is a long non-coding RNA of Rhopalosiphum maidis (corn leaf aphid), 316 nucleotides long. RefSeq lists it as uncharacterized. The transcript has 3 exons. NCBI's taxonomy places the organism in Eukaryota, Metazoa, Arthropoda, Insecta, Hemiptera, Aphididae. The record is from RefSeq and is a predicted model, not a curated record.
AAUUUUUUCUGCGAAUAUUUUCUAAUUAGAACGAAGUUUGUCAGUUAGCUUUAGUUUGAUUGUUUCCAAUUCUGUUCUAUUCAUUGUUGUCCACGUACUAGUGGUAGUAUAAAUAUUUUCGUUCUGCUUAAAGUGUGAUGGCAGUACGGCAGAUCAUACAAGGAAUGCUGAGACACGAAAUCACAUUCAUACCACUUGGGGAAUAUAUCGUCAUCCUAUGUUGAAAAUAAACUACAAGAUACUGAUUAUAUUAGUUAUAAUGGAUUUAUGCAAUAUGGCAGUAUAGCAGAUCUGUCAUGGCAUGCUGAGUAAUGAA